GGGAUGACUCCUAGAUUUCUGGCUUGCUUACCAGAAUGGAAGCUCAUAUUGUUCACUGAUAAUGGUCACACCAGAAGAAAACCAGUAUGUGGAUAUGAUGGUAAAUUUCUGAAAAGACAAGCUGGUCAAGAAUAUGAGUGGAAUCCUACAUCAUUGCGGAAGACUUACAGAAAAAACAAGGCACAGGUGUGCAAGGCUGACCUUUAUGGAGCACUUUUUGACUUUGAUCCUUAGGGAUUUCAUCGCUUCUGCUCUGUAGCCAUUUUGAGUUAUAGGUUUCAGAAUGAAAUAAAAUGUUGCUGCUUUGGCUAAA
Molecule: long non-coding RNA, 313 nt
Filed under: Homo sapiens (human)
Lineage: Eukaryota; Metazoa; Chordata; Mammalia; Primates; Hominidae
Description: HSALNT0294302
Source: RNAcentral